AUACGGAGGGGGCUAGCGUUGUUCGGAAUUACUGGGCGUAAAGCGUCCGCAGGCGGAUAAUUAAGUUAGAGGUGAAAUCCCAGGGCUCAACCCUGGAACUGCCUUUAAAACUGGUUAUCUAGAGUUAUGGAGAGGUAAGUGGAAUUCCUAGUGUAGAGGUGAAAUUCGUAGAUAUUAGGAGGAACACCAGAGGCGAAGGCGGCUUACUGGACAUAUACUGACGCUGAGGGACGAAAGUGUGGGGAGCGAACGGGAUUAGAAACCCUAGUAGUCC
Molecule: ribosomal RNA, 274 nt
Filed under: uncultured bacterium
Lineage: Bacteria
Description: partial 16S ribosomal RNA
Rfam family: Bacterial small subunit ribosomal RNA
Source: RNAcentral